GUGAGGAAUAUUGGUUAAUGGGCGGGAGCCUGAACCAGCCAAGUCGCGUGAAGGAAGAAGGAUCUAUGGUUCGUAAACUUCUUUUGCAGGGGAAUAAAGUGCAGGACGUGUCCUGUUUUGUAUGUACCCUGAGAAUAAGGAUCGGCUAACUCCGUGCCAGCAGCCGCGGUAAUACGGAGGAUCCGAGCGUUAUCCGGAUUGAUUGGGUUUAAAGGGUGCGUAGGUGGUUUGAUAAGUCAGCGGUGAAAGUUUGCAGCUUAACUGUAAAAAUGCCGUUGAAACUGUCGGACUUGAGUGUAAAUGAGGUAGGCGGAAUGCGUGGUGUAGCGGUGAAAUGCAUAGAUAUCACGCAGAACUCCGAUUGCGAAGGCAGCUUACUAAGCUACAACUGACACUGAAGCACGAAAGCGUGGGGAUCAAACAGGAUUAGAUACCCUGGUAGUCC
Molecule: ribosomal RNA, 445 nt
Filed under: uncultured bacterium
Lineage: Bacteria
Description: partial 16S ribosomal RNA
Rfam family: Bacterial small subunit ribosomal RNA
Source: RNAcentral